Molecule: ribosomal RNA, 122 nt
Filed under: Heliconius melpomene (postman butterfly)
Lineage: Eukaryota; Metazoa; Arthropoda; Insecta; Lepidoptera; Nymphalidae
Source: RNAcentral
GCCAACGUCCAUACCACGUUGAACACACCGGUUCUCGUCCGAUCACCGAAGUUAAGCAACGUCGGGCGCGGUCAGUACUUGGAUGGGUGACCGCCUGGGAACACCGCGUGCCGUUGGCUCUU